Non-coding RNA from Echinostoma caproni, 45 nucleotides. The record is from Rfam. Lineage: Eukaryota; Metazoa; Platyhelminthes; Trematoda; Plagiorchiida; Echinostomatidae.
GCACUGCUGACGAGUCCCAAAAAGGACGAAGCAGCUGUCUAGUUC